GAAAACCCAGGUUGCUGUAGCGGGUGCUUUUCAUCCAAGCUUUCAGAGACAUCACGUCAGUUGGGUUUUGUAAAUAUUUCAACAGUGUUUUGAAGUUCCAAUGAAAACAGAGAAAACCUUUGAUGUCUACAGACCCUUUAUCCCGUUGUACACCUCACCCCAUGCUUCUCAGCAACGUUGUUUAGACAGUGUUCACUGAGGCCAAAGGGAUGCAAGGUGCAAAAUCUUGGGCCCACUGAAGUCAACAGCAAACUUCUCCCUGGUUACCCUGGUGAGGCCAGACUCACACUGAAAAUGAGCCCCUGUUUCAGCACUGGGACCUGCUCAGCCAUUCUUCAUGGGACCACUGUCACUGAGCGAGGACUCAUCAGUCUGCUCUUCUCUCAGGCUCAGAGAUUUCAUGGCUCCUGGCAGCCCACCAGACUCUGGGGGAAGAAGAAGGACGACAUGUGUGUGAUGAAAAGGAUGAAAGCUUUAUACAAUCAGCUCUAUUUUCCUUUCCUAGUAUGGGUGCUUGCUUAUCACUGUAGUUUUCGUGAAAGAUCAAAAAAUAAAGUCUUCCUGGCUUUGGAGCAGUAAAAAGUAUAUCUUAUUGCAGAAUUGUGAGACCAUAGUUAAUGCAAGUCCCAUUAUUUUGGUUCUUUGACA
This is a non-coding RNA of Phalacrocorax carbo (great cormorant), 648 nucleotides long. The record is from RefSeq and is a predicted model, not a curated record. NCBI's taxonomy places the organism in Eukaryota, Metazoa, Chordata, Aves, Suliformes, Phalacrocoracidae.